CCUACGGGUGGCUGCAGUGGGGGAUAUUGCACAAUGGGGGAAACCCUGCUGCAGCGACGCCGCGUGUGGGAAGACGGUCCUCUGGAUUGUAAACCACUGUCCCCAAGGACGAAGAUGACGGUACCUGGGGAGGAAGCUCCGGCUAACUACGUGCAAGCAGCCGCGGUAAUACGUAGGGAGCGAGCGUUGUCCGGAAUUACUGGGGGUAAAGGGAGCGUAGGCGGGGAUGCAAGUUGGGUGUCAAAACUACCGGCUCAACUGGUAGUCGCACUCAAAACUGCAGCUCUUGAGUGAAGUAAAGGCAGGCGGAAUUCCUAGUGUAGCGGUGAAAUGCGUAGAUAUUAGGAGGAACACCAGUGGCGAAGGCGGCCUGCUGGGCUUUUACUGACGCUGAGGCUCGAAAGUGUGGGGAGCAAACAGGAUUAGAUACCCCUGUAGUC
Molecule: ribosomal RNA, 440 nt
Filed under: uncultured bacterium
Lineage: Bacteria
Description: partial 16S ribosomal RNA
Rfam family: Bacterial small subunit ribosomal RNA
Source: RNAcentral